GAUGAAGAACGCAGCGAAAUGCGAUAAGUAAUGUGAAUUGCAGAAUUCAGUGAAUCAUCGAAUCUUUGAACGCACCUUGCGCCCUUUGGCUAUUCCGAAGGGCAUGCCUGUUUGAGUAUCAUGAACACCUCAACUCUCAUGGUUUGCCAUGAUGAGCUUGGACUUGGGGGUUUUGCUGGCCUUCGGUCGGCUCCUCUCAAACGGAUCAGCUUUCCAGUGUUUGGUGGCAUCACGGGUGUGAUAACUAUCUACGCCUGUGGUUUUCUGCCAGAUAACCUUCAGCGAUGGAGGUUCGCUGGGGCUCAUAAAUGUCUCUCUUCAGUGGAGACAGCUUUUUGGAUGUUUGAUCUCAAAUCAGGUAGGACUACCCGCUGAACUUAAGCAUAUCAAUAAGCGGAGGA
Molecule: unclassified non-coding RNA, 401 nt
Filed under: soil metagenome
Description: partial contains 5.8S ribosomal RNA, internal transcribed spacer 2, and large subunit ribosomal RNA
Rfam family: 5.8S ribosomal RNA (bases 1-121)
Source: RNAcentral